AGAGUUUGAUCCUGGCUCAGGACGAACGCUGGCGGCGUGCUUAACACAUGCAAGUUGAACGGUUCAGCCCAAGCAGCAAUGUGAGGGUUGGAUAGUAGCGGACGGGUGAGUAACGCGUGAGCAACCUGCCUUUCAGAGGGGGAUAACGUCUGGAAACGGACGCUAAUACCGCAUGACAUUUUGUUGCCGCAUGGUGAUAAAAUCAAAGGAGCAAUCCGCUGAGAGAUGGACUCGCGUCCGAUUAGCCGGUUGGCGGGGUAACGGCCCACCAAAGCAACGAUCGGUAGCCGGGCUGAGAGGCUGAACGGCCACAUUGGGACUGAGACACGGCCCAGACUCCUACGGGAGGCAGCAGUGGGGGAUAUUGCACAAUGGAGGAAACUCUGAUGCAGCAACGCCGCGUGAGGGAAGAAGGUUUUCGGAUUGUAAACCUCUGUCCUCAGGGACGAUAAUGACGGUACCUGAGGAGGAAGCUCCGGCUAACUACGUGCCAGCAGCCGCGGUAAUACGUAGGGAGCAAGCGUCGUCCGGAUUUACUGGGUGUAAAGGGUGCGUAGGCGGCACUGCAAGUCAGGUGUGAAAACCAUGGGCUUAACUUAUGGAUUGCACUUGAAACUGUGGUGCUUGAGUGAAGUAGAGGCAGGCGGAAUUCCCGGUGUAGCGGUGAAAUGCGUAGAGAUCGGGAGGAACACCAGUGGCGAAGGCGGCCUGCUGGGCUUUAACUGACGCUGAGGCACGAAAGCAUGGGUAGCAAACAGGAUUAGAUACCCUGGUAGUCCAUGCCGUAAACGAUGAUUACUAGGUGUGGGGGGUCUGACCCCUUCCGUGCCGGAGUUAACACAAUAAGUAAUCCACCUGGGAAGUACGACCGCAAGGUUGAAACUCAAAGGAAUUGACGG
RNAcentral lists this ribosomal RNA (899 nucleotides) under uncultured bacterium. RNAcentral's name for it is "bacterial SSU rRNA". It matches the Rfam family "Bacterial small subunit ribosomal RNA", at positions 8 to 916 of the family's 1533-position model. The record is from RNAcentral.